This 411-nucleotide ribosomal RNA is filed under the name uncultured bacterium. RNAcentral describes it as "bacterial SSU rRNA". It matches the Rfam family "Bacterial small subunit ribosomal RNA", at positions 28 to 468 of the family's 1533-position model. The record is from RNAcentral.
GACGAACGCUGGCGGCAUGCCUAACACAUGCAAGUCUAGGGGUAGCAAUACCACUGGCGCACGGGUGAGUAACACGUAGGUUAUCUGCCCCCAUCACAGACAUAACCCCGGGAAACCGGGGCUAAUAUCUGAUGAGGUCGCGAGAUCAAAGCUUCGGCGGAUGGGGAUGAGCCUGCGGCUGAUUAGCUAGUUGGUGAGGUAAUGGGCUCACCAAGGCGACGAUCAGUAGCUGGUCUGAGAGGACGAACAGCCACACUGGAACUGAGACACGGUCCAGACUCCUACGGGAGGCAGCAGUGAGGAAUAUUGGUCAAUGGGAGCAAUCCUGAACCAGCAAUGCCGCGUGUGGGAUGACAGGGCUUCGCCUUGUAAACCACUGUCGGACGGGACGAAAGGAGGCCUCGGGGCCUC